This 269-nucleotide long non-coding RNA is filed under the name Nicotiana benthamiana. Its description in RNAcentral is "long non-coding RNA (NBEN_LNC020305)". The record is from RNAcentral. Lineage: Eukaryota; Viridiplantae; Streptophyta; Magnoliopsida; Solanales; Solanaceae.
GACAAGAAACAAGGUGAGGCAUUAAUGAAAAAUGUUUUCAAGGUUUCUUUAGCUACUACUCAUUCUUCACUGUGGGUAUUAGAUAUUGGCAGUGGUUAUAACAUUUGCAAUAUGUUGCGGUUUCUUUAGCUACUACUCAUUCUUCACUGUGGGUAUUAGAUAUUGGCAGUGGUUAUACCAUUUGCAAUAUGUUGCAAGGGUUCAAGAUAAGUAGAAAGUUGAAGAAAGGAGAAAUUAAUCUACAAGUUGGAAAUGUUGCAAAAGUUGCG